This 411-nucleotide ribosomal RNA is filed under the name uncultured bacterium. Its description in RNAcentral is "bacterial SSU rRNA". It matches the Rfam family "Bacterial small subunit ribosomal RNA", at positions 32 to 423 of the family's 1533-position model. The record is from RNAcentral.
AAUCAACGCUGGCGGCGUGCCUCAGACAUGCAAGUCGAACGCGAAAGUCCCCUUCGGGGGACAAGUAGAGUGGCGCACGGGUGAGUAACACGUAGGUAAUCUACCUUUGGAUGGGGAAUAACAACCGGAAACGGUUGCUAAUACCGCAUAAUGCAGCGGCACCUAAUGGUGACAGUUGUUAAAGCGGGGGAUCGAAAGACCUCGCGUCUAAAGAGGAGCCUGCGGCGGAUUAGCUAGUUGGUAAGGAAUGGCUUACCAAGGCUACGAUCCGUAACCGGCCUGAGAGGGCGGUCGGUCACACUGACACUGACAUACGGGUCAGACUCCUACGGGAGGCAGCAGUCGGGAAUUUUGGGCAAUGGGCGAAAGCCUGACCCAGCAACGCCGCGUGAAGGAUGAAAUCCCUCGGGA